Molecule: ribosomal RNA, 208 nt
Filed under: uncultured bacterium
Lineage: Bacteria
Description: partial 16S ribosomal RNA
Rfam family: Bacterial small subunit ribosomal RNA
Source: RNAcentral
UACGUAGGGGCAAGCGUUGUCCGGAUUUAUUGGGCGUAAAGAGCGUGUAGGCGGCCUGAAAGGUCAGCUGUGAAACUCGAGGCUCAACCUCGAGACGUCGGUUGAAACCAUCUGGCUAGAGUCCGGAAGAGGAGUGUGGAAUUCCCGGUGUAGCGGUGAAAUGCGCAGAUAUCGGGAAGAACACCCGUGGCGAAGGCGGCACUCUGGG